Molecule: ribosomal RNA, 254 nt
Filed under: uncultured bacterium
Lineage: Bacteria
Description: partial 16S ribosomal RNA
Rfam family: Bacterial small subunit ribosomal RNA
Source: RNAcentral
AACGUAGGAGACAAACGUUAUCCGGAGUUACUGGGCGUAAAGGGCGUGUAGGUGGUUUCGUAAGUCUGGCGUGAAAUUUUUCGGCUUAACCGGGAAAGGUCGUCGGAUACUGCGGAACUAGAGGACGGUAGAGGCGUGUGGAAUUCCGGGUGUAGUGGUGAAAUGCGUAGAGAUCCGGAGGAACACCAGUGGCGAAGGCGACACGCUGGGCCGUACCUGACACUGAUGCGCGACAGCAGUGGGGAGCAAACAGG